CCAUCCUAGCAGCCAGCGUCGCCCAUGUUACCAGCUUGUGGAAGGAGUCCUAGGGGAAUCGGUGACUUGAAAGGCAUUUUUUCAAAGGAGCAGAGAACUGCACCUGUGGAGCAGAGAACACCAGGCAGAGCAAGGCAAGGAGGAAGGACUUGAUCCUGAAGAGGUGUGACAGUGCCUAUGGCUAGCAGAAGUUACCUGUAAGCCCCUGCCAAGUGUGCUGAACAUAAUGCUUAGCUGCUCC
Molecule: long non-coding RNA, 241 nt
Organism: Mauremys mutica (yellowpond turtle)
Lineage: Eukaryota; Metazoa; Chordata; Testudines; Geoemydidae
Exons: 3
Source: RefSeq, a predicted model, not a curated record